UCGGGAAUUUUGGGCAAUGGGCGAAAGCCUGACCCAGCAACGCCGCGUGAAGGAUGAAGUAUUUCGGUAUGUAAACUUCGAAAGAAUAGGAAGAAUAAAUGACGGUACUAUUUAUAAGCUCCGGCUAACUACGUGCCAGCAGCCGCGGUAAUACGUAGGGAGCAAGCGUUGUUCGGAUUUACUGGGCGUAAAGGGCGCGUAGGCGGCGCGGGUAAGUCACUUGUGAAAUCUCUGAGCUUAACUCAGAACGGCCAAGUGAUACUGCAGUGCUAGAGUGCAGAAGGGGCAAUCGGAAUUCUUGGUGUAGCGGUGAAAUGCGUAGAUAUCAAGAGGAACACCUGAGGUGAAGACGGGUUGCUGGGCUGACACUGACGCUGAGGCGCGAAAGCUAGGGGAGCAAACAGGAUUAGAUACCCCGGUAGUCCCUGAGCGGGCUGGCAAGGCGCAU
This 448-nucleotide ribosomal RNA is filed under the name uncultured bacterium. Its description in RNAcentral is "bacterial SSU rRNA". It matches the Rfam family "Bacterial small subunit ribosomal RNA", at positions 355 to 825 of the family's 1533-position model. The record is from RNAcentral.